RNAcentral lists this ribosomal RNA (253 nucleotides) under uncultured bacterium. RNAcentral describes it as "partial 16S ribosomal RNA". It matches the Rfam family "Bacterial small subunit ribosomal RNA", at positions 524 to 776 of the family's 1533-position model. The record is from RNAcentral.
UACGGAGGGUGCAAGCGUUAUCCGGAUUCACUGGGUUUAAAGGGUGCGUAGGAGGGCAGGUAAGUCAGUGGUGAAAUCUCCAAGCUUAACUUGGAAACUGCCGUUGAUACUAUCUGUCUUGAAUAUUGUGGAGGUGAGCGGAAUAUGCCAUGUAGCGGUGAAAUGCUUAGAUAUGACAUAGAACACCAAUUGCGAAGGCAGCUCACUACACAAUCAUUGACUCUGAGGCACGAAAGCGUGGGGAUCAAACAGG